Molecule: ribosomal RNA, 253 nt
Filed under: uncultured bacterium
Lineage: Bacteria
Description: partial 16S ribosomal RNA
Rfam family: Bacterial small subunit ribosomal RNA
Source: RNAcentral
UACGUAGGGCGCAAGCGUUGUCCGGAAUUCUUGGGCGUAAAGAGCGUGUAGGCGGCCUGAAAGGUCAGCUGUGAAAACUCGAGGCUCAACCUCGAGACGUCGGUUGAAACCAUCUGGCUAGAGUCCGGAAGAGGAGUGUGGAAUUCCCGGUGUAGCGGUGAAAUGCGCAGAUAUCGGGAAGAACACCCGUGGCGAAGGCGGCACUCUGGGACGGUACUGACGCUGAGACGCGAAAGCGUGGGGAGCGAACAGG